Long non-coding RNA from Rhododendron vialii, 207 nucleotides. RefSeq lists it as uncharacterized. Lineage: Eukaryota; Viridiplantae; Streptophyta; Magnoliopsida; Ericales; Ericaceae. The transcript has 3 exons. The record is from RefSeq and is a predicted model, not a curated record.
CAACCGCGCGAAAAUCACGACGGCAACACCAAGCGUUUUGAUAAGAUGAAGAGAUCUGCCCUAAAUGAUGGAAAUGGUAAACAGAAGGAGAUGAGACUAGAACUUUCGGACCGUAGAAUGACCCGUUCCGCAUCCAAGCAGCAGCAGCUGGAGGAGGAAGAAAAUAGGCGCAUCCAGGAGUUCCCUGGGUUUGAUGCUGGGGACAUU